Molecule: ribosomal RNA, 506 nt
Filed under: uncultured bacterium
Lineage: Bacteria
Description: partial 16S ribosomal RNA
Rfam family: Bacterial small subunit ribosomal RNA
Source: RNAcentral
AGUGAACGCUGGCGGUAGGCCUAACACAUGCAAGUCGAACGGCAGCACAGGAGAGCUUGCUCUCUGGGUGGCGAGUGGCGGACGGGUGAGGAAUACAUCGGAAUCUACUCUGUCGUGGGGGAUAACGUAGGGAAACUUACGCUAAUACCGCAUACGACCUACGGGUGAAAGCAGGGGAUCUUCGGACCUUGCGCGAUUGAAUGAGCCGAUGUCGGAUUAGCUAGUUGGCGGGGUAAAGGCCCACCAAGGCGACGAUCCGUAGCUGGUCUGAGAGGCUGAUCGGCAACACGGGAGCUGAGACACGGUCCAGACUCCUACGGGAGGCAGCAGUGGGGGAUAUUGGACAAUGGGCGCAAGCCUGAUCCAGCCAUACCGCGUGGGUGAAGAAGGCCUUCGGGUUGUAAAGCCCUUUUGUUGGGAAAGAAAUCCAGCUGGCUAAUACCCGGUUGGGAUGACGGUACCCAAAGAAUAAGCACCGGCUAACUUCGUGCCAGCCGCCGCGGUAA